RNAcentral lists this unclassified non-coding RNA (539 nucleotides) under Hevea brasiliensis (rubber tree). Lineage: Eukaryota; Viridiplantae; Streptophyta; Magnoliopsida; Malpighiales; Euphorbiaceae. The record is from RNAcentral.
GCGACGACUCUUUUCGUGUUUGCUCCAUUGGUGAGCUUUAAGCGUCUGGAUUCAUUGAGAUACACCUCUGCCCUAUCGGUUGCUCUUGCUGUGGUUUUUGUCGUCAUUACUGCUGGAAUUGCUAUCAUCAAACUCUUCAAUGGAACUGUAGCGAUGCCCAAACUUUUUCCAGAACUAGAUGGUCUUAGUUCCAUCUGGAAGCUCUUCACAGCUGUCCCUGUUCUUGUCACUGCCUACAUCUGCCAUUACAAUGUUCACAGCAUUGACAAUGAGCUUGAAGACAGAACACAAAUUAAACCUAUUGUGCGAACAUCCCUGUUCCUCUGCUCCAGUGUUUACAUUGCUACAAGUUUCUUUGCAUAUCUCCUCUUCGGCGAGGGUACCCUAGAUGAUGUUCUCGCUAACUUCGAUGCAAAUCUUGGGAUUCCAUUUAGUUCCGUCUUUGAUGAUAUAGUGCGAGUGAGCUAUGCUGCUCACGUUAUGCUUGUCUUUCCCAUAGUCUUCUUUGCCCUUAGGCUCAACUUGGAUGGACUGCUCUU